GCAGGUUCGGGACUCACGCAGUGAGACAACGGAGCCGCUUGCGGCGACGGCCCGAAGGGCGAGCGAAGCGAGUCAUCCUGCACGACCCACCA
This 92-nucleotide small RNA is filed under the name Salmonella enterica subsp. enterica serovar Infantis. RNAcentral's name for it is "partial RtT sRNA". It matches the Rfam family "RtT RNA", at positions 37 to 130 of the family's 130-position model. Rfam says of the family: This family represents a bacterial cis-regulatory element known as RtT RNA. The exact function of RtT is unknown although it is thought that it may be involved in changing the cellular response in relation to amino acid starvation. The record is from RNAcentral. RNAcentral also lists the same sequence under 10 other names. Lineage: Bacteria; Pseudomonadati; Pseudomonadota; Gammaproteobacteria; Enterobacterales; Enterobacteriaceae.